RNAcentral lists this ribosomal RNA (253 nucleotides) under uncultured bacterium. Its description in RNAcentral is "partial 16S ribosomal RNA". It matches the Rfam family "Bacterial small subunit ribosomal RNA", at positions 524 to 776 of the family's 1533-position model. The record is from RNAcentral.
UACGUAGGGUGCAAGCGUUGUCCGGAAUUAUUGGGCGUAAAGAGCUCGUAGGCGGUUCGUCGCGUCGGCUGUGAAAUCCCGAGGCUCAACCUCGGGUCUGCAGUCGAUACGGGCGGACUGGAGUUCGGCAGGGGAGACUGGAAUUCUUGGUGUAGCGGUGAAAUGCGUAGAUAUCAAGAGGAACACCUGAGGUGAAGACGGGUUGCUGGGCUGACACUGACGCUGAGGCGCGAAAGCCAGGGGAGCAAACGGG